CAGUCGAACGGAUAUCUUCGGAUAUGAGUGGCGAACGGGUGAGUAACACGUACGGAACCUGCCUGCAUGAGCGGGAGAACUUCUGGAAACGGAAGCUGAUACCGGAUGAGCAAAGAGGAGGCAUCUUCUUUUUGGAAAAGGGGACAAGAGUCCCGCAUGCGGAUGGACCUGCGGUGCAUUAGCUGGUUGGAGAGGUAACGGCUCACCAAGGCGACGAUGCAUAGCCGGCCUGAGAGGGCGGACGGCCACACUGGGACUGAGACACGGCCCAGACUCCUGCGGGAGGCAGCAGUAGGGAAUUUUCGUCAAUGGGGGGAACCCUGAACGAGCAAUGCCGCGUGAGCGAGGAAGGUCUUCGGAUCGUAAAGCUCUGUUGCCGGGGACAAAAGGCAGAAAGAGUGGAAAGCUUUCUGAGUGAUGGUACCCGGCGAGGAAGUCACGGCUAACUACGUGCCAGCAGCCGCGGUAAUACGUAGGUGGCGAGCGUUAUCCGGAAUGAUUGGGCGUAAAGGGUGCGCAGGCGGCCGGGCAAGUCCGCAGUAAAAACUGGAGGCUCAACCUUCAGGGGCUGCGGAAACUGUCCGGCUGGAGAGCAGGAGAGGACGGUGGAACUCCAUGUGUAGCGGUAAAAUGCGUAGAUAUAUGGAAGAACACCGGUGGCGAAGGCGGCCGUCUGGCCUGCAUCUGACGCUGAGGCACGAAAGCGUGGGGAGCAAAUAGGAUUAGAUACCCUAGUAGUCCACGCUUGUAAACGAUGA
RNAcentral lists this ribosomal RNA (758 nucleotides) under uncultured bacterium. RNAcentral describes it as "bacterial SSU rRNA". It matches the Rfam family "Bacterial small subunit ribosomal RNA", at positions 59 to 812 of the family's 1533-position model. The record is from RNAcentral.